UACGAAGGGAGCUAGCGUUGUUCGGAAUCACUGGGCGUAAGGCGCACGUAGGCGGAUUUGUCAGUCAGGGGUGAAAUCCCGGGGCUCAACCUCGGAAGUGCCUUUGAUACAGCAAGUCUUGAGUUCGAGAGAGGUGGGUGGAAUUCCUAGUGUAGAGGUGAAAUUCGUAGAUAUUAGGAAGAACACCGGUGGCGAAGGCGGCCCACUGGCUCGAUACUGACGCUGAGGUGCGAAAGCGUGGGGAGCAAACAGG
RNAcentral lists this ribosomal RNA (253 nucleotides) under uncultured bacterium. RNAcentral's name for it is "partial 16S ribosomal RNA". It matches the Rfam family "Bacterial small subunit ribosomal RNA", at positions 524 to 776 of the family's 1533-position model. The record is from RNAcentral.